RNAcentral lists this long non-coding RNA (277 nucleotides) under Zonotrichia albicollis (white-throated sparrow). RNAcentral describes it as "lncRNA (ENSZALG00000008707.1)". Lineage: Eukaryota; Metazoa; Chordata; Aves; Passeriformes; Passerellidae. The record is from RNAcentral.
CUAUUACUACAUACUGCAAAUAAUGUAUUUGAAUGCUUCUUUUUUAAAAAAUUGUGUAUUUUUAAAGCAUUCUGCAAUGAGCAUUUUCUGCCAGCUGUAACAGCUCCAUUAGAUCUGCUUCAGUUUUCUACAGGAUAUUCCCAUGAUAAGAAGAAAGGAGAAUAAUCUGAUAAUAGAAACAAUUGAAUCAUGUCUGCUACCUUGGAUGGCUGCAUAGGAGAGAUCUGUAAGUAUUGUCUCACAUAAUGCUGUAUUAUUUCACUACAGGCUGAUCUGC